GGCGGCGUGCCUAACACAUGCAAGUCGAACGAGAAAGUGGAGCAAUCCAUGAGUAAAGUGGCGACCGGGUGAGUAACACGUGACUAACCUACCCUCGAGUGUGGAAUAACAUCGGGAAACCGAUGCUAAUACCGCAUAACGUCGCAAGAUCAAAGCAGCAAUGCGCUUGAGGAGGGGGUCGCGGCUGAUUAGCUAGUUGGCGGGGUAACGGCCCACCAAGGCGAAGAUCGGUAGCCGGCCUGAGAGGGCGCACGGCCACACUGGAACUGAAACACGGUCCAGACUCCUACGGGAGGCAGCAGUGGGGAAUUUUGCGCAAUGGGGGAAACCCUGACNCAGCAACGCCGCGUGGAGGAUGAAGCCCCUUGGGGCGUAAACUCCUUUCGACCAAGACCAUGAUGACGGUACUGGUGGAAGAAGCACCGGCUAACUCUGUGCCAGCANCCGCGGUAAUACAGAGGGUGCAAGCGUUGUUCGGAAUUAUUGG
This 487-nucleotide ribosomal RNA is filed under the name uncultured Acidobacteriota bacterium. RNAcentral's name for it is "bacterial SSU rRNA". It matches the Rfam family "Bacterial small subunit ribosomal RNA", at positions 38 to 557 of the family's 1533-position model. Lineage: Bacteria; Pseudomonadati; Acidobacteriota. The record is from RNAcentral.